Long non-coding RNA from Orcinus orca (killer whale), 3119 nucleotides. RefSeq lists it as uncharacterized. The record is from RefSeq and is a predicted model, not a curated record. Lineage: Eukaryota; Metazoa; Chordata; Mammalia; Artiodactyla; Delphinidae. The transcript has 2 exons.
GAGUCAGACCCACAGGAAGCCGGCUUGCAGUCUGCACAGGCCGUCUACGAGGAAGCUGCGCAGGAACAGCUGUGACGAUCGGCACCCGCAGCCGGGCAGGACCGCCCUGCGACGGACAGCUGCCCCACCUUCUGUCCCUGCUUCCAGCUCAGGACCAGCAGGCGGCACGGCUCCUGAGACAGUGGGUGCUCAGUGAAUGUGUCUGACCAGAUGGGUGAAGACAGCCUCGGGUUAGUCGCCCAGCUACCCUCCUGGUCGUAAGAAGAAGAUGCAGGAAGUAAGUUUCUCUUUCCUCCGGUCCUAAGUGCUCUCUCGGCUCUUCCCACGUUCUCUUCUGUGCGUACCAAGGGGGCAGCUGUGACAGAACACCAUGGACUGCGUGGUUUAAUUCACGGGAAUUUAGAGAUGGUGGUGCCAGCUGGGUUGGUGUUAUUUUUGGCCUGUAAGUACAGCCACGUGUGCCCACGUGACCUCUUCCCAAUCCCGCUGGGGGCCCUGCCCUCAGGACCUCAUCUUGCCCUAACUGUCCCCCAAGGCCCCGCCUCUAAAUGCCAUCCCACUGGGGGCUCGGGCUUCAACAUACGAAUUUGGGGGACAAGUGCAUUCAGUCGGUCAUAAAAGAUAAAGAUUCUGUUUCCUCAAAUUUUACAGUAUGAUUUGAUACAAUAAUUGGGGUAUCUUCUCUGACAUAAUUAUCCUUUUUCUCUCAUUCUUAUGAAUUAGCAAUUCUUAUAUAUUUAAUUUCUACCUUAGCUUGACGUUGAUACUUAGAAAGAACUAGCUUCUCCUUUUAUAUAUUUACUUUUUUGCUAAAAUGUUUGUAUUUCAAUCAUGCUGGAAGUUACAAAUGCUUUCUAAUGAUCCCCAAAGUCAAACAGUAAAUUGUCUCUUUUUUUUAAAGGCUUUAGGGAUGAGGAAAUAGCUCAUCUGUCUUCAAACGCACGUGAAGGGUCACCCAUCACCUAAUAAUCUCCCCUCCCCCAUGUCACAGCUAUCUUCUGCGCAGGGGAGCUUCCUGCUUUAUUCUGCCUUCAUGCUGAGCAGUUACGACCGUAUCUGUUCAGAAGAAACAUAUGUGAAAAAUAUAAAAUACUCAGGCAGAUGAAUGGAAUGUCUCAGUUAAUCUUUUCUUCUGCACAUUCUGCCCUGGACCUUCUGCCUCCCUUAAAUAUUUUUCUUCCCUGAAUUUAUAGCCCCUCAGACACUGUUUUGUAAUUUCAGGACUGGGUUGGGGACUGACUCUGCCUCCUUAUCACCGAUGAUCUCGACUUUAACUCUGUGCUUUAAAGUACUUCCCCAAAGAGCCCUCCCCCGUGGUUCUUGCCACGGAAGAUGCCGCCUGCCUGGCGGAGCCGGGGUGAUGCUCGGGGUGGGUCAGAGACCCUCGCUGACUGACCCUCUGUGUGCUCUUUCCCUGCCCACAGCCUCCUCUGCGCCCGUGACCUCCUGGCCUGUCCAGUCCCUCGGCUCUGCGGCCUGCGGGGUCCCCUCCCUGGGCUCCUGUCAGGAGCCCGACGUAGUGGUCAGCGGGCAGAACCGGGGCCGUUUUCAACACCUUUCGUGUACUCCUCCCGGCAAACCCUGAGGCAUAAACAACCUCACUCUAUAAGAGGAAGCAAACCCAGGGAGGUUACGGAGACGCCUGGGGCCUCAUAAUAGCUAACUGUGGCCCAGCGGGGCCUGAACCCUGGGCUGUGUCCUUCUGCUGAAUUUGUGGGGAAGCAAAGGCACCUGGGCCCCAGGCAGAUGGGAAGACACAGCACCUACAGUCAUAUUUAUUUACUGUAAACCUGCCAGAGAGUAAAUGCAAGAGCACCGGAGAGGAAGCAGCUUCAGGCCUUGGGCAGACAGGUGUGUGUGUGUGUGCGUGUUGUGUGUGUGUGUGUGUGUGUGUGUGUGCGUGUGCGUGUGUGUGUGUGUGUGUGUGCGUGUGUGUGUGUGUGUGUGUGUCUGCAAGGCUGGGGAGAGACCAAGACAGAUGGAGAGAGACAGACAGAUAGAGAGAGGAUCAAAGAGAAGGAGACAGAGAGAGAGAGAGAGAGAGAGAGAGAGGGAGGGAGGGACACUGACUGAUGACUGAUUUGACAUCUCAUCACUGAGGGCUCUCUGUCCGCAGAUGCCGCGGUUGCAUUUUGCGUGGAGUCUGCAUGGGUUUUAUGGUUAGUUUGCUCCGUUAGUCUGCCGGUUGCACAGACAGGCCCGGCAUCUUCUGGGCGGGGACGCAUUCCUGUCUGGUUGUGCUUUGGAACCUGAACCAUGAGGAAAUGGAGCCUGGCUUCUGAGAAAGAUAAACACUGUCAGAAAUCCCCAGGGGCCCGAACCCACUGCAUCCCCUUCAGCACUGAUCUCACAUGAUCUUGGCCAGAGACACAGCCUGAGGGUCCUCUCCUGUGACACAAGGACGGGGGUCCUGCUGAGGACGAAGGAAGUCUGCAGUUUCCAAAUACGGCAUUCAAAGCCCCCGAAUUGAGAAAAACUCCAACAGAUGCAAGAGAUAAUGUCAAACAGAGCAGGACACACCCCGUAAAGGGAGCUUCACGGCCAUGUCUCUGGGGUGGCCGGCAAGGGACACAGACUGUGGACACUGCUGGGACCGAGGCGGGGCCAGAAGCCUGGCUCUGGAUCCUCUCCCAGGACCCUCACCUGCUCAGCGGCCCUGGCAAAUACUGGGUUCCCAUCGCCUCUUGUGCCACACGGUUGAGAUUUAGACCAUUAAAGAAAAUACCCUGUGUACUAUCUUCUAUCAAAAACCUCCACCAUGGGUGGGUUUGGCGUUUUCCUCCAAAUAUCAGAGCAGUUUUAUAGAACGCUCAGGAAGACCCUUUCACCUCUGUUAGUAAGCGGAUUCUGUGAAGCCCACGUGGGAAUUCUAUCCAGAUAGACUCCAAGUCUGCUCUGGGCCCUUUGAAAUGGUUGCACUUUUGAGACAGAAAGAAAGAGAGUGACAGAAAGCAGCCACUCUCCUUCACUUUUGGAAACCUCUGCCCAGGUCAAACAGGUGGACUUCUUUGUUCUAAAAUGUUAAUCUUUUUAAAAUGUGAAUCCCUGAAGUGCGUCCUGAAACUAGCUGUUCGUUACAUGAAUAUCUAAUGUCUAGUACAAGAUCUACUACCAUUUUA